Molecule: long non-coding RNA, 2531 nt
Filed under: Pan troglodytes (chimpanzee)
Lineage: Eukaryota; Metazoa; Chordata; Mammalia; Primates; Hominidae
Description: long non-coding RNA NONPTRT012099
Source: RNAcentral
CAGCUCUCUGCCUUCCAGCCAGAUGUUGUCAUUGCAGCAGGUAAUGCCCAGCCCUGGGCAUCCUGUGCAGGCGGUGUCCUUGCAGCUCUACCCAGCUCUUGGCUCUGGGAAAAGGGAACAAUGGAUGCUGUCGGGCAUGGACAUGAUGGGGCUUCCAGAAGAGUUACUCCGGGCCUCCAGGGUGACAUCAAAGGACAGGGGUGCCUCUUAAGGUGACCUUCAAGCCACAGCCCUCUUGUUGGAGACAGGCAUACUCCCGUUACAGUCGUCACCACAUGGCUCUGUCCCAGAGCCAUGCCCUGUGUCCUUCAGAGACCACAGGAGGAAAACAACCACUUCUGGGAUGAGGACAGGGCCCUUGAGAGAAGGUGGUGUUUGGCUGGGCCACCAAAAACCCCUCGCCCCUGCCAGCACACUCAGUCUCCUCUCUGGUGGAACAGAGCUCUGCCUGUGGUCCUGGGUCCCAGCCCUGAAACCCACAGGUCCAGCGGUGGCCAGGGACAGAGGCCCACCCCUGCAAGCCAGCAGACCAAUCGGCAGACACCUGAAACACGAAGUUCACGGCAGGGUCAGGCUUUCUGCCAUUCAAAGCCCUCUAGAUAGGCUGAGAACCAGAGCAGGUUUUUUAAGGAACACCAGUGAGUCUGGAGAUUUUUUUCUUUUGCUUCGGUCUUUUGCAGCUUUCUCUACUAAGGGUUCUCCUUUUUCACCCAAGUAAUUGCCCUUCCAUCUAAUGGCCCAAAUGGUCAAAUGGCAUCUAAUAGUCUCAUAUGAACGCUGCCUCUCUGGCCUCACCCUGCUGCUGAGGUCAGCAUGAACUGGAACUUUCCACUUGUCCCUUUCAGUAACCUGAAGCUUUCACCGUAGACGUGCUGUAUUGCCCAGAAGCCAUCGUGUCGCUGGUCAGGGUCCUGCGGAGGCUGGCUGCCUGCUGGGAGCACCAGCGGGCUCCUGAGGUCUACAUGGCCUUUACCGUCCACAACCCAGAGACGUGCCAGCUGUUCACCACUGAGCUAGGCUGGGCUGGGAUCAGAUGGGAAGCGGAAGCUCAUCAUGACCAGAAACUGUUUCCCUAUGGAGAGCACUUGGAGAUGGCAAUGCUGAACCUCACACUGUAGGACUCAUACACGACUCCAAUGGGAUUGUUAGAAUCAAAUCACUCUCGUGGGAAGAAUUUUUAUAUGGGAAAGCGGAUAAAACUUUCAUUGGACUGGAAUGUUUGGAGAAUGUUAAAUUCCAAAUCAGGAACCACAAUCCACCCUCUAAUAAGACAUCGGCUAUCUAAGCGUGUGGGUGCCCCCUUUCUGCCAGCAGUUCUGGUUCUUAAGAAAAUCACCAUAAAUCAGACAUGAAAAUUCUGGCUCCAAAAGUAGCAUUUUUUUGUGCAAAUAAAAACGUGUGUAUCAAGUAUGACGUUCCCCCAACGUGGACACACUCGGUUCCUCACAAAGCCAAGCCCGCUGCAGCUGCCACAUCCCUGGACACACUCGGUUCCUCACAAAGCCAAGCCCGCUGCAGCUGCCACAUCCCUGGACACACUCGGUUCCUCACAAAGCCAAGCCCGCUGCAGCUGCCACAUCCCUGGGCUUAUGGUGCAGCGGGUGCUUUUUUCAAGACAGGAAUCAAAGUGUUAGGAACAUGGCAGAAAGGUGACACCUGGAGACCAAAUGCAGGAUGAGAAGUACUGCAGAGGUCACAGGGAAGUCACAGAACAGUAAUACGCUAGCAGGGACAUGGGGCGUGAAGAACAGAAGAAGACAGGAAGCAUUUCAGAGACUCCAAAGAAGAAAUCAGGGCCAACCACAGCUUCCCGGGUCAUUCACCAGGUGGCACCACUGCCGUCAUUUCAGCUUCUGGCCACUGGGAGGUGCUGCUGGAAAGGGUUUGCCCUGAGACUCCAAGAAGAAGCUGCGGGAAGGACAGCAGGGGCCCUGGGGUUUUAGCCUCUGGCCCAGGAGUUAUGUGUCCAUAACCAAAGGGAGCACAGUCUGCACCCAGCUCUCAUCCCAUCAGAGCUGCUGUGACUCCCGCAGGUUCUUCCAGAACUGGUUUAGCUUGCCUGCAGGAUCAGGAAAGUUUGAGAAAAGCAUCUGCAAAAUACUGAAGAGCAGAGCUUACCUCAUUGCCUGUCCCCACCCCAUUCCAGGUCACCACCUGGAUGACCCCAGCUCCCCAACCCAACAACAACCCCUCCCAAGUCCCUAACUCCCUCACUUGGACUUGAGACCCUUCACACCCCAGCAGCGCUCCGCCUCCAUCUUGACAUCAUGCUUUCUGGAAACUUCCCCGUAUGUCCCACUUUCCCACACUUGGUGCCCUGGAGCACCUUCCGGCCUCUACAUGAUGUACGUUCCCCUGUGAGCACCCUCCUCUCGGCCUCUGGCCAACACAGUCCCACCCAUCUGUGGGUAACAAGGGGGUGUUCUUUUCAGCCUUGCUAAACUGUCUGAAUCAAGGAUCACAAACUACAGCCUGCAGGCCAAAUCCAGCCCACAGCCUGUGUUUGUAAAUAAAGCUUUAUUGGAACAAAG